This 238-nucleotide long non-coding RNA is filed under the name Lathyrus oleraceus (garden pea). RNAcentral describes it as "Pisum sativum (pea) long non-coding RNA (PSAT_LNC003655)". Lineage: Eukaryota; Viridiplantae; Streptophyta; Magnoliopsida; Fabales; Fabaceae. The record is from RNAcentral.
GAUGAUGAAGAUAAUGAUGAUGGAAGCUUGGCGAAAAGUAUUACAACUGAAGCAUCAUAUGUUCAUGACGUAGAUGAAGAUUGAUGAGUGCAUCUUUUAUGUUUGUAGAGAAUUUAGAGAUUGUUGUGUUAGAUUAAACUAUUUAUGACUUCUUUCAUAACUUUUGUUGAAUUUAUGGAGUUGAACUUUUGUUGAAUUUGUGGUGUUGAACUUAUGUUGAAUUCGUGAUAUUUAAUUU